CCUACGGGCGGCUGCAGUAGGGAAUAUUGCUCAAUGGGGGAAACCCUGAAGCAGCAACGCCGCGUGGAGGAUGAAGGUUUUCGGAUUGUAAACUCCUUUUGUUAGAGAAGAUAAUGACGGUAUCUAACGAAUAAGCACCGGCUAACUCCGUGCCAGCAGCCGCGGUAAUACGGAGGGUGCAAGCGUUACUCGGAAUCACUGGGCGGAAAGAGCGCGUAGGCGGGAUAGCAAGUCAGAUGUGAAAUCCUAUGGCUUAACCAUAGAACUGCAUUUGAAACUGUUAUUCUAGAGUAUGGGAGAGGGAGGUGGAAUUCUUGGUGUAGGGGUAAAAUCCGUAGAGAUCAAGAGGAAUACUCAUUGCGAAGGCGACCUGCUAGAACAUAACUGACGCUGAUGCGCGAAAGCGUGGGGAGCAAACAGGAUUAGAUACCCCAGUAGUC
RNAcentral lists this ribosomal RNA (440 nucleotides) under uncultured bacterium. Its description in RNAcentral is "partial 16S ribosomal RNA". It matches the Rfam family "Bacterial small subunit ribosomal RNA", at positions 338 to 795 of the family's 1533-position model. The record is from RNAcentral.